This is a long non-coding RNA of Micropterus dolomieu (smallmouth bass), 266 nucleotides long. RefSeq lists it as uncharacterized. NCBI's taxonomy places the organism in Eukaryota, Metazoa, Chordata, Actinopteri, Centrarchiformes, Centrarchidae. The record is from RefSeq and is a predicted model, not a curated record. The transcript has 3 exons.
UUUCUGUACAUACUGGCCUAUCACUCUGUUCCACAAAGCAGACAUCUCCAAAUCUGGGACAAACAAAUUCCAAACUGCAUAGAAACCACCAGACGGACUGCAAAAUGAUAUCAGUCUUCAACAUGUCAGCUGUAGAACAGUGAACUUCCACUGGAAAACACCGUCAUCUGGAGUGUGAAAGUGACACAUUACCAUACCUCAAUCUGGGUGACUCAGUAGACAUGUUAGUUGCAGUCCCCUGCACUUAUCUAAACAGUUAUUGCUAA